This 232-nucleotide non-coding RNA is filed under the name uncultured Bullifex sp. The record is from RNAcentral. Lineage: Bacteria; Pseudomonadati; Spirochaetota; Spirochaetia; Spirochaetales; Spirochaetaceae.
AACUCCUAACCUGACAAAGCUUAACCAGCAGUCAGUAUCCAGCCUUGGAGCCGAAAUCGUGAGAUAAGGUUUAAGCGUAGGCAGGAGAGCACAAGAGCCGCAAGGGAAACCUGAAGUGAUUGGGCCUCGUAAAAAAUAUAAUGUAAGUGUCGAUGCUUUUAAGCGGGCAGCAGACAGUAAGAAACAAUCGAUAAAGGUGAUGAUUGUUGAAAACUUACCGGGGUCGUAGAGC